RNAcentral lists this ribosomal RNA (1535 nucleotides) under metagenome. Its description in RNAcentral is "bacterial LSU rRNA". It matches the Rfam family "Bacterial large subunit ribosomal RNA", at positions 1419 to 2925 of the family's 2925-position model. The record is from RNAcentral.
UGGGAAGCAGGUUAAUAUUCCUGCACCACCAGGGAUGGCGUUGAAGCAAGCAGGGACGGAGAAGGGUAGGCCGGGCGCAGCGUAAGGUCGUCUGCGUUCAAGCCCGUAGGAGGGACCAUUAGGACCCAAUAGGGACAAACGGUGGUUCAUGACUCCGAGAGGUGAUGAGGUCCGGACUUGUCCGGGACACCCGGUGAUCCCAUGCUUCCAAGAAAAGCUGCGUGCAGAGCCCCUCUGGUGACCGUACCGCAAACCGACUCAGGUGGGCGGGGUGAGUAUCCCAAGGCGCGUGAGAGAACCCUGGUUAAGGAACUAGGCAAAAUAACACCGUAACUUCGGGAGAAGGUGUGCCGUUGAUGGUGAAGCCCUCCUCGGGCCGAGCUGUUGGCGGUUGCAGCGAAAUGGGGAUUGUGACUGUUUACUAAAAACAUAGGACUCUGCAAAGUCGAAAGACGACGUAUAGGGUCUGAUGCCUGCCCGGUGCUGGAAGGUUAAGGGGAAGUGUCAGCGCAAGCGAAGCACCCAACCGAAGCCCCAGUAAACGGCGGCCGUAACUAUAACGGUCCUAAGGUAGCGAAAUUCCUUGUCGGGUAAGUUCCGACCUGCACGAAUGGCAUAACAACAUUCCCGCUGUCUCAACCAGGGACUCAGCGAAAUGCAUAGGGGGUGAAGAUGCCCUCUACCCGCGGCAAGACGGGAAGACCCCAUGAACCUUUACUGCAACUUGGCAGUGAACUUCGGGAUGUUCUGCGUAGGAUAGGUGGGAGGCGUUGAAGCCGGGCUUCCGGGUUCGGCAGAGCCACCGUUGAAAUACCACCCUGAACAUUCUGGGGUUCUAACCUAGGCCCGUGAUCCGGGUCGGGGACACUGCCUGGUAGGCAGUUUGACUGGGGCGGUCGCCUCCAAAAUCGUAACGGAGGCGUGCGAAGGUUCCCUCAGCCUGAUUGGAAACCAGGCGUAGAGUGCAAACGCAUAAGGGAGCUUGACUGUGAGACCGACAGGUCGAGCAGGUGCGAAAGCAGGUGUUAGUGAUCCGGUGGUUCCUGAUGGAAGGGCCAUCGCUCAACGGAUAAAAGGUACUCUGGGGAUAACAGGCUGAUCGCGCCUGAGAGUUCACAUCGGCGGCGCGGUUUGGCACCUCGAUGUCGGCUCAUCGCAUCCUGGGGCUGGAGCAGGUCCCAAGGGUUUGGCUGUUCGCCAAUUAAAGCGGUACGCGAGCUGGGUUUAGAACGUCGUGAGACAGUUCGGUCCCUAUCUGCCGUGGGCGUAGGACACUUGAGAGGAGUUGCCCAUAGUACGAGAGGACCUGGGUGAACGUACCCCUGGUGAUCCGGUUGUUCUGCCAAGAGCAUUGCCGGGCAGCUACGUACGGAACGGAUAACCGCUGAAAGCAUCUAAGCGGGAAGCCGGCCUCAAGACUAGGUGUCCCGUCGAAAGACCUAAAGGCUCCAUGUAGACCACGUGGUAAUAGGCUGGGUGUGAAAGCGUAGCAAUGCGCGGAGCUAACCAGUACUAAUAAGCCGUGAGGCUUGACC